AGCGAACGCUGGCGGCAGGCCUAACACAUGCAAGUCGAACGAACCUUUCGGGGUUAGUGGCGGACGGGUGAGUAACACGUGGGAACGUGCCUUUAGGUUCGGAAUAACUCAGGGAAUCUUGUGCUAAUACCGAAUGUGCCCUUCGGGGGAAAGAUCUAUCGCCUUUAGAGCGGCCCGCGUCUGAUUAGCUAGUUGGUUGAGGUAAUGGCUCACCAAGGCGACGAUCAGUAGCUGGUCUGAGAGGAUGAUCAGCCACAUUGGGACUGAGACACGGCCCAAACUCCUACGGGAGGCAGCAGUGGGGAAUCUUGCGCAAUGGGCGAAAGCCUGACGCAGCCAUGCCGCGUGAAUGAUGAAGGUCUUAGGAUUGUAAAAUUCUUUCACCGGGGACGAUAAUGACGGUACCCGGAGAAGAAGCCCCGGCUAACUUCGUG
Molecule: ribosomal RNA, 434 nt
Filed under: uncultured bacterium
Lineage: Bacteria
Description: partial 16S ribosomal RNA
Rfam family: Bacterial small subunit ribosomal RNA
Source: RNAcentral